This 46-nucleotide non-coding RNA is filed under the name Trichobilharzia regenti. Lineage: Eukaryota; Metazoa; Platyhelminthes; Trematoda; Strigeidida; Schistosomatidae. The record is from RNAcentral.
AUACUGACGAGGAGUCCCAAAGUAGGACGAAACAGCUGUCCAGUAC